This 253-nucleotide ribosomal RNA is filed under the name uncultured bacterium. Its description in RNAcentral is "partial 16S ribosomal RNA". It matches the Rfam family "Bacterial small subunit ribosomal RNA", at positions 524 to 776 of the family's 1533-position model. The record is from RNAcentral.
UACGUAGGAGGCAAGCGUUGUCCGGAAUCACUGGGCGUAAAGCGCGUGUAGGCGGAUCGCUAAGUCUGUGGUGAAAGCGCCUGGCUUAACCGGGCGAGGUCCAUGGAAACUAGUGGUCUGGAGGCCGGUAGAGGGGGGUGGAAUUCCGGGUGUAGUGGUGAAAUGCGUAGAGAUCCGGAGGAACACCAGUGGCGAAGGCGGCCCCCUGGGCCGCGCCUGACGCUGAGACGCGAAAGCGCGGGGAGCGAACGGG